CAACUCUCCUAUGAUGAACAGGGACACCUACAGCUCCAUCAGAACACCACCAGGGACCUAAAAAUGACAGAUUCAUUUCUGAAAGCCAUGUGCGGAUCACAAAAACAACAAAUUCACUCCUUCAACAGAUGCUUGAAAAUAUAUGCAUGCUUCAUUAGUCUAAUUUGUCUACUCGAAGCCUAGUCCAAAACGGCAGAAAAGUUCCAAAACCACAUCAAGCACCAUGGAGACCACUGUGCAUAAUAAUAAAAACAAACAUGAUCAGCAGGCA
Molecule: long non-coding RNA, 271 nt
Organism: Numida meleagris (helmeted guineafowl)
Lineage: Eukaryota; Metazoa; Chordata; Aves; Galliformes; Numididae
Exons: 2
Source: RefSeq, a predicted model, not a curated record